AGCUUUGCACAGUGGCAGUAUCAUAGCCAAUGACAUUUAUCUGAGGCACGAUUAUUGCUAAAUGAACCAGAUGUCCACAGUCCCCGCUCAGAUGAGUUCACAUUUUAAUACGUAGAGAGAUUAUGCACAUACACAAUAAGAUAAAUGCUGUA
This is a small nuclear RNA of Chinchilla lanigera (long-tailed chinchilla), 152 nucleotides long. Its record names the gene U4. It matches the Rfam family "U4 spliceosomal RNA". Rfam says of the family: U4 small nuclear RNA (U4 snRNA) is a component of the major U2-dependent spliceosome. NCBI's taxonomy places the organism in Eukaryota, Metazoa, Chordata, Mammalia, Rodentia, Chinchillidae. The record is from Ensembl.